GCCUACGGGAGGCAGCAGUGAGGAAUAUUGGUCAAUGGGCGAGAGCCUGAACCAGCCAAGUCGCGUGAAGGAUGACGGCCCUAUGGGUUGUAAACUUCUUUUGUCAGGGAGCAAUUGGGUCCACGUGUGGGCUUAGCGAGAGUACCCGAAGAAAAAGCAUCGGCUAACUCCGUGCCAGCAGCCGCGGUAAUACGGAGGAUGCGAGCGUUAUCCGGAUUUAUUGGGUUUAAAGGGUGCGCAGGCGGAAGAUCAAGUCAGCGGUAAAAUUGAGAGGCUCAACCUCUUCGAGCCGUUGAAACUGGUUU
RNAcentral lists this ribosomal RNA (305 nucleotides) under uncultured bacterium. Its description in RNAcentral is "bacterial SSU rRNA". It matches the Rfam family "Bacterial small subunit ribosomal RNA", at positions 337 to 639 of the family's 1533-position model. The record is from RNAcentral.